AACAAGUCAGCCCUCCUUAUAGGCCUCCCGGAAAAUAAAAGAGCUAUUCACCAAAAACGAUCUCGAGUGCAUUCAUCAUAAAGCGAGGUUAAAGUACUAAGACCGUAAAAACUUCGGGUUCCGCCAAAUCUUCUCAAACAUCUGACUGCCCUCUCCCGCCACCCCCUCUCCAGGACGCAGGAGCCAGCGGGGGACCUUCGGACUUCUCCAGCCGUGUUCCUGCAAGCGGAGAAUUUUCCACCCGGGCUCCAGAAGAGGCAGACCCCCAACCACCACCCCGGCCCGACCCAUCCCGCCACGGGAUCAUCUCAGCUCCGAGCCGAGCGCCUUCUGUGGGGGCAGCUAGACCGGCUCUUGUUCCUGAGGGCCAGAUCCAGCCGCUUAUUGGAUGUCUCCACCGCGAGGCCGAGCAGAGAACAGAAUUGAUUGUGGCAUCUGCCUUCCACCACCACCAGCCUGCUCCUCCCCGUGUGGUUCCCUGCUUUGAUGAGCAGACGCGGCCCUCUACUGCACUAACUUGAGUGCUUCCUCUGUCUCUCUCCUUCUCCCGACCCUACUACAUCAAGUCACUUCCACCUGAACCUACCCAGGGGGACUCUCGUCCCUUCCUAGCCUGGCCGCUCGCUUCCUUCCAGUCACUCUGCUGUCCACUUUCAACCUUCACACUUGUGGCCCGGAUCCUCUUUUUAAAAAAACACAGUUCCCCCACUUCUCUUUGAAAAAUGGUGCAAACUAUACAUCAAGGUGACUUUGUCAUCCAUACAGAUGGUGAAGUUGGGAGCAAUAAUUCUGACUGAGGAGUAGGAU
Molecule: long non-coding RNA, 807 nt
Organism: Bos taurus (domestic cattle)
Lineage: Eukaryota; Metazoa; Chordata; Mammalia; Artiodactyla; Bovidae
Source: Ensembl